UAGUACUACUUCCAUGAAGCCUUUUCUAAAAUGUUCCCCUCUCUAAGAAGUUCCUUCCUCUGUGCUCUCCUAUGGUUUUUAUUUUAAAACAGUAUCUCCAUCAUUAAACCAAAGAUCAUGUAUUUUUAACAUUUUGACUAUUCCCAUUAUUUUAAGCAGUCUGAGAAGUGAUCAGAUCCUUCUGUCACCUAGCAUGAUACCUGAGUUCCAACUCAGUUUAUAGAUUAAAUAAAUAAAAGAUGAAAAGAACUGGGUAGAGCUGAGUGAGUGUAUACGAAGGCACAGGUAAAUUUUGCUUAGAUUCUUUAUGGUUGGGCAGACUUACUAUUUAACCAUGAAAACCUAAAAAUCACACAUUGUAAGUUCACACUAUUUAAGAAUUAAAAGCAGUAACACAAGGAGAAAGUUAAGAAAGAACAUCUUUGCAAAUCUUUUCCAUUCACUUCUUACAUCUAGCAGAUAUUUUUUCUUUGAAAACAGCCUACAAUUCGUAUCAUCAAAUGUACAAUGAAUCAAUACAUUACUGAAAGAUAAUUCAGAGGAGGAGAAAGGUGGGUAUAAAAAUUGCAGUUCACAGUAAAGAUGGCUUAAGAUACCUAGUGGUAAAAAUAAGUAGAAAAUUCAAGCACACAUCUAAAUAAAAUGGAGAAAUGGCUGACAAGGGAAG
This 667-nucleotide long non-coding RNA is filed under the name Bos taurus (domestic cattle). Its description in RNAcentral is "long non-coding RNA NONBTAT026820". The record is from RNAcentral. Lineage: Eukaryota; Metazoa; Chordata; Mammalia; Artiodactyla; Bovidae.